Molecule: small nucleolar RNA, 134 nt
Organism: Triplophysa rosa
Lineage: Eukaryota; Metazoa; Chordata; Actinopteri; Cypriniformes; Nemacheilidae
Product: small nucleolar RNA SNORA70
Exons: 1
Source: RefSeq, a predicted model, not a curated record
CUGCAGUUUAUUAAGCCGACCAGUCUUGUUUUCUGUACUUCUCUGGUGUGCAAAGGCUGCAGACAGUAAUUCUUUGGUUGUGUAUGAGCCUGGCUGGGAGGUGCUGGGCCCUUUAAGGGACCAUUGAAACAGAU